AGUAAUGUAUGGGGAUCUGCCUGAUGGCGGGGGAUAACUACUGGAAACGGUAGCUAAUACCGCAUAAUGUCUGCGGACCAAAGCGGGGGACCUCCGGGCCUCGCGCCAUCAGAUGAACCCAUAUGGGAUUAGCUAGUAGGUAAGGUAACGGCUUACCUAGGCGACGAUCCCUAGCUGGUCUGAGAGGAUGAUCAGCCACACUGAGACUGAGACACGGCCCAG
This 222-nucleotide ribosomal RNA is filed under the name uncultured bacterium. RNAcentral's name for it is "partial 16S ribosomal RNA". It matches the Rfam family "Bacterial small subunit ribosomal RNA", at positions 109 to 334 of the family's 1533-position model. The record is from RNAcentral.